UCACGCGGUACGCCGAGCCCUGCCGCCGCACGAGGUCCAGAACGACAGACGGCAGGGACGGGGGACCCAGGUGUGACCGGGGUCCGGGCAACCGGACUCCUUGGGGUGAAGUCCCGGGUGCGGACGUACCGCACACGGGGCCGGGCGAAUCCACAGUCCGAACCCGACAGCUCACCUCGCAGGCGUGUGGAGAGGCUUG
RNAcentral lists this small RNA (199 nucleotides) under Beutenbergia cavernae. Its description in RNAcentral is "c-di-AMP sequence". The stretch from base 33 to 199 matches the Rfam family "c-di-AMP riboswitch aptamer (ydaO/yuaA leader)". From Rfam's summary of the family: This family represents a conserved RNA structure found upstream of the ydaO and yuaA genes in Bacillus subtilis and related genes in other bacteria. The ydaO/yuaA element is thought to act as a genetic "off" switch for the ydaO and yuaA genes in its native state. The record is from RNAcentral. Lineage: Bacteria; Bacillati; Actinomycetota; Actinomycetes; Micrococcales; Beutenbergiaceae.